This 328-nucleotide ribosomal RNA is filed under the name uncultured Actinomycetes bacterium. RNAcentral describes it as "bacterial SSU rRNA". It matches the Rfam family "Bacterial small subunit ribosomal RNA", at positions 28 to 351 of the family's 1533-position model. The record is from RNAcentral. Lineage: Bacteria; Bacillati; Actinomycetota; Actinomycetes.
GACGAACGCUGGCGGCGUGCCUAACACAUGCAAGUCGAACGAGAUCCAUGGGAGCUUGCUCCCGGAAGAUCUAGUGGCGAACGGGUGAGUAACACGUGAGAAACCUGCCCUGGAGUGGGGAAUAACUCGGGGAAACUCGAGCUAAUACCGCAUACCCUCAGUUGGUCGCAUGGCCGACUGAGGAAAGAAUUUCGCUCUAGGAGGGUCUCGCGGCCUAUCAGCUAGUUGGUGGGGUAACGGCCCACCAAGGCUACGACGGGUAGCUGGUUUGAGAGAACGAUCAGCCACACUGGGACUGAGACACGGCCCAGACUCCUACGGGUGGCUG